Molecule: long non-coding RNA, 798 nt
Filed under: Corvus moneduloides (New Caledonian crow)
Lineage: Eukaryota; Metazoa; Chordata; Aves; Passeriformes; Corvidae
Description: lncRNA (ENSCMUG00000019482.1)
Source: RNAcentral
GGGCGGCCCCCCCGGGCGGCCGGCAGCGCUCCCCGCCCCGGCCGGGGGCUCCAGCUGUGGCACAGCUGCCUCGGCGGGCGGACGGGGGUGGGGGGAGGAAGGGGGCAAGUUAUUAUCUGCAACAAUACCUCGGGGGAGGAGGCAGCGGAGGCGAGCGCGGCGGCGGCGGCGGGAGGAGGCGGCGGGGGGCGGGCCGGGGGCGGCACCGGGACCGCCCCCCGGGACCGCCCCCGGCCCCGCCGCCGGCCCCUUCCUUCCGCCCGGCGGCCCCUUCCGCGCCCCGCGCCGCUGCCCCGCAGCGUCCCCCGGACGGCCCCUCCCGCGCUCCCGGCUCGGGUACCCCCGCGCCGCGCCCGCCGCUUCCCCCAGGCAGCCCCUCCCGCGCUCCGCCCCGCACAUCCCUCCCUCCGGUCCGGCAGCCCCUCCGCAUCCCCCCUGGCCGCGGCACUCCCGCAUCCCUCCGUCCGCGCCCCCCCCCCCCGGCCCUUACCUCCCCUGGGGCGCAGGGAGGGGCGGCCGGCGGCCCCGAGCUCGGCGGGACGGCCCCGAAACAAAAAGCGAAAGCGGCGGCUGCUGCCUCCCGCUCUGCCGGGCUGCCGCGCUCUGCCCGCGGCUGACGUCAAGGGCCCGAAUUCCUGCCUUUCCCUGCAGGCAGAUUUGUCCAUUAGCUGUUCGGUGUCUGCAUCUGCCCUGAAGAGAACUGGAAGACAGAAGGGUUACAUUGUGUUCAGGCUGUGGAGGGGAGCGUUGCCAAGCUUAAUUCAUUUGGAAAGAGAUUUCUGGGAUGAUUGUUCCUGA